UACCUGGUUGAUCCUGCCAGUAGUCAUAUGCUUGUCUCAAAGAUUAAGCCAUGCAUGUGUAAGCACACACUGUUUUAAAAGUGAAGCCGCGAAUGGCUCAUUACAACAGCCACAGUUUAUUAGAACUUACAAUCAUGGAUAACUGUGGUAAUUCUAGAGCUAAUACACGCACAAAAACUUCAACUGAAUUGGUUGAAGUGCUUUUAUUAGAACAAAAACCGAACGGCGUUUGACGAAUGUUGAACGUCGAAACUGUUUGGUGAAUCUGAAUAACUAUUUCUGAUCGCAUGGUCUAGCACCGGCGACAUCACUUUCAAGUGUCUGCCUUAUCAACCUUCGAUGGUAGUCUAUGCGACUACCAUGGUGAUAACGGGUAACGGAGAAUCAGGGUUCGACUCCGGAGAGGGAGCCUGAGAAACGGCUACCACAUCCAAGGAAGGCAGCAGGCGCGCAAAUUACCCACUCCCAGCUUGGGGAGGUAGUGACGAAAAAUAACGAGACGAUUCUCGUUUGAGAAACGUUAUCGAAAUGAGUACGCUUUACACACGCUAACGAGUAGCAAUUGGAGGGCAAGUCUGGUGCCAGCAGCCGCGGUAAUUCCAGCUCCAAUAGCGUAUAUUAAAGUUGCUGCGGUUAAAACGCUCGUAGUUGAAUUGUGGUCUUAGACAACAGUCCCCCUACAUAGGUGUGGCACGGUUGCUCGAGAUCUUCAUUCGUGGUUGCUGUUGUUGCUCUUCAUUGAGUGUCAAUGGUGCCUCGAGAUUUUACUUUGAAAAAAUUAGAGUGCUCAAAGCAGGUUGUGAUGCCUGAAUAAUGGUGCAUGGAAUAAUAGAAUACGAUCUCGGUUCUAUUUUGUUGGUUUUCGAACCGGAGAUAAUGAUUGAAAGGAACAGACGGGGGCAUUCGUAUUGCUGCGUUAGAGGUGAAAUUCUUGGAUCGCAGCAAGAUGAACAAUUGCGAAAGCAUUUGCCAAGAAUGUUUUCAUUAAUCAAGAACGAAAGUUAGAGGUUCGAAGGCGAUCAGAUACCGCCCUAGUUCUAACGGUAAACUAUGCCAACCAGCGAUUCGCCGAAGUUCAUUUAAGACUCGGCGAGCAGCUUCCGGGAAACCAAAGUGUUUCGGUUCCGGGGGAAGUAUGGUUGCAAAGCUGAAACUUAAAGGAAUUGACGGAAGGGCACCACCAGGAGUGGAGCCUGCGGCUUAAUUUGACUCAACACGGGAAAACUCACCCGGCCCGGACACUGGAAGGAUUGACAGAUUGACAGCUCUUUCUUGAUUCAGUGGGUAGUGGUGCAUGGCCGUUCUUAGUUGGUGGAGCGAUUUGUCUGGUUAAUUCCGAUAACGAACGAGACUCUACCCUAUUAAAUAGUGACAGUAUUGUAUUUUUUGUGCUGAUCACUUCUUAGAGGGACUGGCAAAUUGAAAGCUGCACGAAAAAGAGCAAUAACAGGUCUGUGAUGCCCUUCGAUGUCCGGGGCUGCACGCGCGCUACAAUGAAAGCGUCAACGUGAGUUACGUCCUUACCUGAAAAGGUUUGGCAAUCGAAUGAAACGUUUUCUUGAAUGGAAUAGGGAAUUGCAAUUGUUUCCCUUGAACGAGGAAUUCCCAGUAAGCGUGAGUCAUUAGCUCGCGUUGAUUACGUCCCUGCCCUUUGUACACACCGCCCGUCGCUACUACCGAUUGGAUGAUUUAGUGAGGUGUUUUGACUGGCGCCAGUAGUCGGAUGUAUUCGGCUUCGCGCCGGGAAAUUUCCCAAACCAAAUCAUCUAGAGGAAGUAAAAGUCGUAACAAGGUUUCCGUAGGUGAACCUGCGGAAGGAUCAUUA
This is a ribosomal RNA of Trichinella nativa, 1825 nucleotides long. It matches the Rfam family "Eukaryotic small subunit ribosomal RNA". NCBI's taxonomy places the organism in Eukaryota, Metazoa, Nematoda, Enoplea, Trichinellida, Trichinellidae. The record is from Rfam.